UGUGUGCGCAAGUUCACUGCGGCCGGCUUCAGUCGUGCUUUGCGGCAACAGCGCGCGCCUGAAAGCCUCCGUUGAAAGCUCCCCACCUCCCGCCUAUACUUGCAUACAAAAACCAUCGGUUUCGGCUCCACUGAUAAAUUUUUAAAGAAGACUUAAAACAUGGCUGCUCCAGAAGGACCCCCUGGCAUGCCACCGACGGAGCCGCAGACGGGCCCCGACGGGGAGAUCAUCGGCGGCCCGCGGAACAUGCAGCAGGUGGCCGCGCAACGUAGGCUUCAGCAGACGCAGGCGCAAGUUGACGAGGUGGUGGACAUUAUGAAAACAAACGUCGAAAAAGUCCUGGAAAGAGACGCGAAGUUAUCAGAGCUAGAUGACAGAGCCGAUGCACUCCAAUACGGUGCGUCGCAGUUUGAACAACAGGCCAAGAGUUUAAAGAACAAAUUUUGGCUUCAAAACCUUAAGAUGAUGAUAAUAAUGGGAGUGAUUGGAAUCGUCAUAAUAGGCCUGCUGUUUGGUGAUAACAUUAAACAAAUGUUUGGUUAGUUCGAUACCGUGGCACCCCGACUAUGACUGGCAUCCCAGCGGGUAUAUCGGGCAUAGCCAGCAAUAUCACUAUGUCCGCUAAUACUAUUCAUUGUGAGUAAUGUUAGUCCUUCUGUCUUUGCCACUUUGACUUCCUUCCUUCUUGAACUUACAAUAAUGCUUGCGCAUGAAUGAAGCUUUAAUUACAUGUUGCAUGGAACUGGUAAACCCAAGGAAAAUACAUGUAAGUUAUUUAUUCAUCGCGUCUGUUGGGUUCUACUUAAAUCGUGAAGCUGUCUUCAAAAUACAUGCUACGUAUAAACUAGAUACUUUAUAUUCUACUAUCUACUUGAUAAAUUAGGUAGCAUCUUUAGAAUCUAGAAUACCUAAAAAUGGAACAAAAUUUGGGGUAUAUAUCAACCUUAUGAAAUUCGUAUUACUUAGAUACUUAAAAAAUUUAAUACCUAUCAAAUUUGUAUUCAAAAGGUUAACAUGACGUUACCUAAAGCCAAACAAUUUGAAUGACUCUAAGGUACUAACUUUGUUACCCAUACAUACCAACUUAAGUACCCAUUUUAAUAUCUAUUAUUCUUUUAAUUGUUAUAAUAUAUGGGGAAGUAAAAAGAAUAUUAAAGAAAAUUCUCAAAAUUCUGCUAAUAUUUAAAAUUUAUUUGCGUGCCUUGUUCUAGGAUACUAUGUACAAGUCCUAAAUAAGUGUAACAUUUAUAGACCGACCGCUUAACUGAGGCCUCGCUUGCGCGGUACGAGGGCGACGGGGUGAGACGACUAAGGGUAACAUUCCAUUUCCAACGACAGCUGCAAUAUGGUCAAUUUUACUAUGGAAAUUGACAAUGACAGCGACGCGUUCAGUACUGGUAGUGCAGCUGUGGUUAGAAAUGGAAUGUUACCAUUAGGGUGGCGGGGAAGGUGCGGGCGGCAGGCAUACGGCGCGGCGCCUGCGAGGACUCAGUUAAGCGGUCGUACGGUCUAUAAGUUAUGAUUUGAGACCUCGCUGUGACGCUGCUUUAAUUUUGACUCUAAAUCGGCCUAUGAAUGCUCUAGAAGUUUCAAAGAGAUACUUAUAUUAGUGAGCGAGUUCUUCCAAACUUAGUGGAACCUUUAUCGAUAUUAAUAUAGCAUUAUUAUUAUAAUUCAAGUAUAAAAAUAGGAUUAUAUGAAUAAACAUGCUAUUAGUUGUUUGUUAAACAAUUCAAAAUGCAAUAAAAUACGAAAUGCAAAAUUGUGACACCAAAGUUAGCCGAAAUAGAAUAACAUGGAAUUGAAUUAUUAAGUGAUAGAUAUAUAGAAUUAAGGCAAACCCUGUUUAAUAUUUAGUCUCAUAAUAUAACAAGUACAAUACCUAUAAAAUUGCAUAUCCGCUCUUUACUAAUUGACAAAUUUAGUCGGAAUAUACAGGGUGAUUUCUGGGUCGUGAUCCAGAACCACUUUUUCUGACUCUGUAAAUGACCCACAUUAUCAUAUGGUAGUAUUUGAUUAAAAGAUAAUUACUUUAAUUAUUCUUAUUCUUCAAGUAAAAUUAAUGUUAUACUAAGUAAUUAUGGUCACCCUAUGACUUUUUACAUACGCUGUAUGGAAAGCGACAAGACGUCACGUUGAGUAGGGUCACCAAAUUGUAUUCAAAAAUGUUUUUUCCUACUAGUUAUCUGGAAAGUAAUCAUCAUUAUUGGUGAUAAACAAUAAUUAACAACACCAUUAGGCUCAUCUUUGUCUGGCUCUCUUGCUCCACGACCCCGAAAUCACCCUGUAUAAGUAGCUGUGGGAAAGAGAUGUGGACCUGCCGCCAGUUUAUGAAGCCUCUUGAAGUCAAUUAUUUGCAUGUAUAUGUUACACAUUAUUAAGGCUGUAUAAUGAUUUGCUAGUAUCAAAUGUCAAUUAGAAAUUUAUUUUAAAAAGUCAAAGAAAUCUGUACUUGAAGUAAAUUCAUUAGCGAUAAAACUUAACAUUAUUUGGAUUAAAAUGGACUGUAUUUACAAUUUUUGUGUAAAUCGUAGGGGUAAUUUUAAAGUUUGCUUUCAUUUAUUCUUGUGCCUUCAAUUUAUACGAAUUAGAUAUUUUCACCCUCCCAUGAGUUAGACGAUCUUAAGGGGCCCACUGAUUAACAGUCCGCCGGACGGUAUCGGCCUGUCAGUUAGAACAAAAUUUUGACAGUUCCGAACAACUGACAGGCCGAUACCGUCCGGCGGACUGUUAAUCAGUAGGCCCUUUAGAAUUCGAUUGUCAGUUAGUUUUGCAAUUAUUGUAGUACUUAGCUGUUAUUUGUUUUGAAAUAUUGAAUUAUAAAUUUAGAUGAAAAUUGUAAGUAUAGAUUAAUAAUAUGGUGCCAUUGACAAUAUUAGUUCUUUUAUAAUAACUGUGGAAUGAUGCGUGUAUUUACUGUAUCUAUAAAAUCUGACAUUUUAUGGUAUUCUACAACUUUUAACUUUUCGGUGUAGUGCAUAUCACAUAAUAUUAUAUAUAUUAAUUGAGUCUACCUUUAAAUGCACUUAUGUUUAACAGAUUAUUAUUAUAACAAUAUAGUAUAUCAACUGCGAUCAAAUUUUUAAGAAUACAUAUCUAGGGAUAUUUCUACUACCUACCUGAAAAGCCAAUGGAAAUUACAUUUCUUACAAGCAAUACGUUUCGAGGUGCCCCAAAACAAAAUAUCGAACCUAAAUUUGUAAAUACUGAAAUACUUCUUUAAAACUUUUCGACCUUCGUGUUGUUUUUAAUAACAAAAAGUCAUAUCAAUAAACAAAUUCAAUGUUUUAUAGAGUUAUACCUAUUUCUAUUACAAAUUUUUGAUUCAACGAAUAGAGAUAAAUACUUACAAUUUAAAUUUAUGACGUUGUGAUUGUACAUAUUUAAUCUUGGACUUAUUUUUGGCCUGAGACACUAAACUUUCAAAGGUGAAAACUCUUCUUAUUUUUUUAAUAUCUGCAAAGCAAGGGCGUCAUUUGACGACAUUUUCAUAGGUGUUUAUUAUAAAUAUGUAAUAGAAUACACGAAGUAAACAGUUUUAGGUUAUACAAUAAUGUGAUUAAAAUGAAUACACAAUGAAA
RNA transcript from Cydia fagiglandana, 3581 nucleotides. It is a transcript of the gene named neuronal synaptobrevin-like, with no coding region annotated. Lineage: Eukaryota; Metazoa; Arthropoda; Insecta; Lepidoptera; Tortricidae. The transcript has 7 exons. The record is from RefSeq and is a predicted model, not a curated record.